This 379-nucleotide long non-coding RNA is filed under the name Brassica napus (rape). RNAcentral's name for it is "long non-coding RNA (BNAP_LNC001891)". Lineage: Eukaryota; Viridiplantae; Streptophyta; Magnoliopsida; Brassicales; Brassicaceae. The record is from RNAcentral.
AGAGAGCAAAAGUGGGCACCAUAAUCCUAUGGUUGACGACCAAACCAUUUCCAUGUGCGCCACGUAGAUUAUUGCGGGUGCAUGAUCUCAGCAUGAAGUGUCAUCAUCACUCGACCUCGAGAUCCUCCUCCUCGACUUUGAAUGCAGUAGCCAUUAUUUUGGUUUGUAGCUAAGUUUUGUCGUUGACGUAAACUGUGGACUUCAUUAAUAAAAUAGAAACUGAUCGUUAAAACGUAGAUACAGGCCAUAAACAAUGAACACUAUGAUUGACAUUUGCUGGUUGGUGAUUUACAAAUUGAACAAAUGAAGUGUUUAUAUUGUGUUUCUAAUUCUGUAAGAAGUUAGCAUAUAGGUGAACUGUGGAUUAUUAAAGUAUAUA